AGAGUUUGAUCCUGGCUCAGGAUGAACGCUAGCGGCAGGCUUAACACAUGCAAGUCGAGGGGUAGAGUUCUUCGGGACUUGAGACCGGCGCACGGGUGCGUAACGCGUAUGCAAUCUACCUUUCACAGAGGGAUAGCCCAGAGAAAUUUGGAUUAAUACCUCAUAGUAUUAUGAAAUGGCAUCAUUUUAUAAUUAAAGUCACAACGGUGAAAGAUGAGCAUGCGUCCCAUUAGCUAGUUGGUAUGGUAACGGCAUACCAAGGCUACGAUGGGUAGGGGUCCUGAGAGGGAGAUCCCCCACACUGGUACUGAGACACGGACCAGACUCCUACGGGAGGCAGUAGUGAGGAAUAUUGGACAAUGGGCGCAAGCCUGAUCCAGCCAUGCCGCGUGCAGGAUGACGGUCCUAUGGAUUGUAAACUGCUUUUGUACGGGAAGAAACACUCCUACGUGUAGGAGCUUGACGGUACCGUAAGAAUAAGGAUCGGCUAACUCCGUGCCAGCAGCCGCGGUAAUACGGAGGAUCCAAGCGUUAUCCGGAAUCAUUGGGUUUAAAGGGUCCGUAGGCGGUUUAGUAAGUCAGUGGUGAAAGCCCAUCGCUCAACGGUGGAACGGCCAUUGAUACUGCUAAACUUGAAUUAUUAGGAAGUAACUAGAAUAUGUAGUGUAGCGGUGAAAUGCUUAGAGAUUACAUGGAAUACCAAUUGCGAAGGCAGGUUACUACUAAUGGAUUGACGCUGAUGGACGAAAGCGUGGGUAGCGAACAGGAUUAGAUACCCUGGUAGUCCACGCCGUAAACGAUGGAUACUAGCUGUUGGGAGCAAUCUCAGUGGCUAAGCGAAAGUGAUAAGUAUCCCACCUGGGGAGUACGUUCGCAAGAAUAAACUCAAAGGAAUUGACGG
This 901-nucleotide ribosomal RNA is filed under the name uncultured bacterium. Its description in RNAcentral is "bacterial SSU rRNA". It matches the Rfam family "Bacterial small subunit ribosomal RNA", at positions 8 to 916 of the family's 1533-position model. The record is from RNAcentral.